Molecule: non-coding RNA, 385 nt
Organism: Cinara cedri
Lineage: Eukaryota; Metazoa; Arthropoda; Insecta; Hemiptera; Aphididae
Source: the annotation of a GenBank genome assembly
AGCUAUCCAUCUGGGAGAUUAAUUUCUUAGGGGCAGUAAAUACUAAUACUUUAAUACUACUCUAAAUGCGUGGGUAUCGCGUCCUCUUAACGGUAAUAUAUUAAUGAAUCGAGCAAAAAUAGUAUACAUCGCGUCUCUAAAUAAUAAACCGACUUUAGAGUGUUACAGAUUAUAAUAGUAAGGACCUAGUCUUUUUGAAAUGCCACAAAUCGCAUCAUGAACCAUAUAAUAUAUCGUGUCGUCCGUCAUGAUUUCUCGCGAAGCGUCGUUAUAUUAUUUGCGAAAACGAUAACGUUCCUAUAGUGUACGUACGUAUAUAGUGCAUCGCAAACAAAUCGUUUUAACACUACACGAAUGUCACUCCCGGAUUAGAUUUAUCGAGCUU